Molecule: ribosomal RNA, 609 nt
Filed under: fungal sp. SK17
Lineage: Eukaryota; Fungi
Description: eukaryotic LSU rRNA
Rfam family: 5.8S ribosomal RNA (bases 191-355)
Source: RNAcentral
UGGCGAACCUGCGGAGGGAUCAUUACACAAAUAUGAAGGCGGGCUGGAACCUCUCGGGGUUACAGCCUUGCUGAAUUAUUCACCCUUGUCUUUUGCGUACUUCUUGUUUCCUUGGUGGGUUCGCCCACCACUAGGACAAACAUAAACCUUUUGUAAUUGCAAUCAGCGUCAGUAACAAAUUAAUAAUUACAACUUUCAACAACGGAUCUCUUGGUUCUGGACCCGGGUUAACAUCGAUGAAGAACGCAGCGAAAUGCGAUAAGUAGUGUGAAUUGCAGAAUUCAGUGAAUCAUCGAAUCUUUGAACGCACAUUGCGCCCUUUGGUAUUCCAAAGGGCAUGCCUGUUCGAGCGUCAUUUGUACCCUCAAGCUUUGCUUGGUGUUGGGCGUCUUGUCUCUAGCUUUGCUGGAGACUCGCCUUAAAGUAAUUGGCAGCCGGCCUACUGGUUUCGGAGCGCAGCACAAGUCGCACUCUCUAUCAGCAAAGGUCUAGCAUCCAUUAAGCCUUUUUUUCAACUUUUGACCUCGGAUCAGGUAGGGAUACCCGCUGAACUUAAGCAUAUCAAUAAGCGGAGGAAAAGAAACCAACAGGGAUUGCCCUAGUAACUGC